This 449-nucleotide ribosomal RNA is filed under the name uncultured bacterium. RNAcentral describes it as "partial 16S ribosomal RNA". It matches the Rfam family "Bacterial small subunit ribosomal RNA", at positions 29 to 523 of the family's 1533-position model. The record is from RNAcentral.
AACGAACGCUGGCGGCAUGCCUAACACAUGCAAGUCGAACGAGAUCUUCGGGUCUAGUGGCGCACGGGUGCGUAACGCGUGGGAAUCUGCCCUUUGGUUCGGAACAACAGUUAGAAACGACUGCUAAUACCGGAUGAUGACGAAAGUCCAAAGAUUUAUCGCCAGAGGAUGGGCCCGCGUAGGAUUAGCUAGUUGGUGUGGUAAAGGCGCACCAAGGCGACGAUCCUUAGCUGGUCUGAGAGGAUGAUCAGCCACACUGGGACUGAGACACGGCCCAGACUCCUACGGGAGGCAGCAGUGGGGAAUAUUGGACAAUGGGCGAAAGCCUGAUCCAGCAAUGCCGCGUGAGUGAUGAAGGCCUUAGGGUUGUAAAGCUCUUUUACCCGGGAUGAUAAUGACAGUACCGGGAGAAUAAGCUCCGGCUAACUCCGUGCCAGCAGCCGCCGUAA